ACGAACGCUGGCGGCGUGCUUAACACAUGCAAGUCGAGCGGUAAGGCCCUUCGGGGUACACGAGCGGCGAACGGGUGAGUAACACGUGAGCAAUCUGCCCUUCUCUUUGGAAUAACCAUUGGAAACGAUGGCUAAUGCCGAAUAUGACCCCCCUUCGCAUGUUGGGGGGUGGAAAGCUCCGGCGGAGAAGGAUGAGCUCGCGGCCUAUCAGCUUGUUGGUGAGGUAAUGGCUCACCAAGGCAUUGACGGGUAGCCG
This 256-nucleotide ribosomal RNA is filed under the name Aeromicrobium sp. ISO253_OTU981. RNAcentral's name for it is "partial 16S ribosomal RNA". It matches the Rfam family "Bacterial small subunit ribosomal RNA", at positions 29 to 289 of the family's 1533-position model. The record is from RNAcentral. Lineage: Bacteria; Bacillati; Actinomycetota; Actinomycetes; Propionibacteriales; Nocardioidaceae.